Molecule: ribosomal RNA, 491 nt
Filed under: Arsenophonus endosymbiont of Bemisia tabaci
Lineage: Bacteria; Pseudomonadati; Pseudomonadota; Gammaproteobacteria; Enterobacterales; Morganellaceae
Description: partial 23S ribosomal RNA
Rfam family: Bacterial large subunit ribosomal RNA
Source: RNAcentral
AUUCCCCCAGUAGCGGCGAGCGAACGGGGAGCAGCCCAGAGUCAGCAUCAAUAUUUACCGCAGGAGAAGGGUCUGGAAAGGCCGGCAAUAAAGGGUGAUAGCCCCGUAUCUGAAGCGGUAAGUGUUGUGAACUCGAAGAGUAGGGCGGGACACGUGUUAUCCUGUCUGAAUAUGGGGGGACCAUCCUCCAAGGCUAAAUAUUCCUGACUGACCGAUAGUGAACUAGUACCGUGAGGGAAAGGCGAAAAGAACCCCGGCGAGGGGAGUGAAAUAGAACCUGAAACCGUGUACGUACAAGCAGUGGGAGCACCCGAAAGGGUGUGACUGCGUACCUUUUGUAUAAUGGGUCAGCGACUUAUAUUCUGUAGCAAGGUUAACCGCAUAGGGGAGCCGUAGGGAAACCGAGUCUUAACUGGGCGUUAAGUUGCAGGGUAUAGACCCGAAACCCGGUGAUCUAGCCAUGGGUAGGUUGAAGGUUGGGUAACACUAAC